Molecule: ribosomal RNA, 231 nt
Filed under: Triticum aestivum (bread wheat)
Lineage: Eukaryota; Viridiplantae; Streptophyta; Magnoliopsida; Poales; Poaceae
Description: partial small subunit ribosomal RNA
Source: RNAcentral
GCUGUCACUUUGUUGAUGAUACUAGUAUCGUGGGAGAUUUGGAAGGAACGCGAUAUAAGAGUUUUCUAUAACACCUCCACCCCAACAACGGUGGUUGUUAGGAAGAUCAAGGGGGAAGCCCAUCACUGAUUGUUAGUGGACGCGAAACACUUGAUUAAUGUAAUGCCGGGAGAGUGUCUUUUUUUCUUCCUCUUUGGGGGUAUAUGUUUAAAACUUCUUUCUUAUGAAUGA